RNAcentral lists this long non-coding RNA (4102 nucleotides) under Taeniopygia guttata (zebra finch). Its description in RNAcentral is "lncRNA (ENSTGUG00000029747.1)". The record is from RNAcentral. Lineage: Eukaryota; Metazoa; Chordata; Aves; Passeriformes; Estrildidae.
UUUUCUAUGGAUAAGCCAAAUAAAGAAAAAUUCUGCCCAGGAACAAUCCUCAAAUGAGAUAGCUCAGCAAGCAAUGCAUAAAGAAUCAGAUUGUCAUUCAGUUUAUUAAAGUUAUUAAAAGAAUUAAAGUUAUUAAAAUAAUUAAGGAGAGGCAACUGCCUGUGACUUCUAAUGUUUUACAAAGCAAAAUUUUGGGAAUCAGUUCACAGGCCUGAAAAAAUGAUCUGCAGCAGUACUUAUUUUAAAUGUGUCAAUUAGUAAAUUUGGAUUAUUCUAUCAAUAUCCAAUAUACAAAAUAUAGUCAACAAGAAAUUAGGGUUAGUCUGAGUAGCACUUGUAAAACAUGUUUAAACUGAAACAUUUAAUUCUUAAGAUGGAACAGUGUAGAAAUAUUUAUCAGGUCUAAAAAGGUACUGCUAUUGUAAAUAAUCCUGAAGUCUUUGGCUUCAGCAUUUCCAUAAAAUAAAACUAUUAGACGUGAUGAAAUUAUUAAACUGAUUAGUUCUAAUUGACCUUAGAUCUUAAAGGGGAAGAUAUGUUAGGAAAAGAGAGGUCCUAAAUUUACCUCCUGUGUACUGCUGGGCCUGAUUAUGUUUCUCAUACACAAUUGUGGUUUUCUGAUUUAGAUUUGCAGUGCAAAAAAAAAAAAAAAGUCAGCAAAAAAAAAUCUUAUUUUUGUCUGGUGGCUCACAAAACUUGCACGAACAAGACUUUUAUGUAUGUGAAACUGCCAAACUGGAGCCAGGGUCGGAACUCUCAAGGGGCUGAAUAUUGAGCAAAAGAGAGAAAUGAAACAGCUGAGUUACUACACUGAGAAACAUAUGUGGUACAUUGACACAUUUACCAACAUUCAAAAGAUUUUCUGAUAUGUAGCUGCUCUCUUGAAAAUGAUGUACGUGGUUGUCUGGAGUUGCACCAGAGCUGCAGAACCUAUUCUGGCUUCUCGGGUAAAUUAUACAGACUGGCAAUGAAGUUUAUAAAUGAGUGUUUAUCACUUAGAGAGAGAGGUUUGUGGUGGAGCUCUGACAGCUAGUGGGGGAAUAACAAGUCCUUUAAAAAAGUGUUUGCAUGUAUUUACCCAGGACUGAAAAGCAGUCUCUCUCUGAAGUAGAGUAUUUUCAUUAAGCUUCACAUUAAAUAAGCCCCAAGAAAUUAUCUUGAAGCACCAAUGAUGCUGUUGCACCAAGUAGAGCAAAGAGAUUCAAGGUUAUGGCUGACACUGAUCCUAAUUGGCGGAUCUGACAGCUCUCAGCCUAUUCAAUCACUUCACCACUUCCACCUCAAUCAUCUGAAAUCUUUUAUUUCAGUCAAUAAUAUGUGCUUAAAUUAAUCAGAUAUGCUACCCUCAAAAAUCCUCCUGCAUGUCCUCUCCACUCCUGGAGAAGGAAACAGACAGCAAACAGUUCUUCCUGAUGAAAGAUUGUCUUUUCCAUGGCAGAAAACAGAAAUAUUUCCUCCAAAUUCAGGAGAAUGAGAUGGGUUUAAUAGUAGAGUAUUUGCAGAGAUUUUGAGCCUUUGUCCUGGAGAGCUCUGCCUGGUGGUAGGACGGAACAAGGACUGCAUAACUCUUCUCCCAUUUCAUUUUUCCAGGUGUAUUUAUUUGAUCAGUGUUUCAUAUUUAAAUAUGCAGCAUGUGUUUUAUGUUGAGAGAAAACUGUGUUAUUAAAUGAUGGCAGAAGAAAACUGGAGUCAGAAACAAAGGAAACAAAUAUACUCGAAUUAUGCUGCAGACAGCAUGAAAGAAAAUGUCUAUAAAUGCACACAGAAAUGAGUCUGUCUAAAAAGUGCAUUUGAGGGCUGGUGAAAACAUCACUGACACCAAAGGAAAUUGUUCACACUGGCUGGGGGUGAGCACUGAGGUACAGGUACCACCAGCACCAGCUCCAGUUGGGGAUUUCCAUCCCCAUCCCUGCUGCUGUCCACUCUUCAGCCUGGUUUGGAAACUCACUGAAAUCCCUUUUCUAACAGUCAGAGGAGGCUCUGGAGCAUCUUCUGCAGAGUCCAAUACUUUGGCUCCUGGAAAUAUUUCCCUGUGCCAGAACCAGGGUUCACCCUCCUGGUGAGUGCUCCCAAGGGGGCAAAGGAGGCUUCCACCUUUCUGUGCCUCCAUCCUGCCUCCCUGUCCCCUCCUCCUCCACUGACUUUUCUCUGGGGGUCAAGAUGACACAUGAGCCUUCUCUAAUCAUGGCCCAUCUCGUUCCAAAUGGACAGUUGUGUGUUGUUUCUCUACUCUUCCUAUCUAUCCUUUCUCCUUUUCUUUCAGGUUGCUCUAUUUGUUGCUAUCACGUGGGUUUUUUCCCAUAAAUAUUCUCUUUCAGCUCUUGAUACCUCUUUUUGUUACCAGACUCAUACAUUCUGCCCCUUCUCACAGCAAUCUCAUGACCUCCAGGUAAUAUACAGUACUAAAAUAGGUGAAGUCCUUUCUCUCUCCUCAGCCAGCACCCAGUUUCCAGCCCUGCUAAUGCUGUGUGCCCAGGGCCAAGUUGAGUUCCCCAGAAAAGAUAUUCCUUUCUCUUUGGUAAUUUAAGAUGGAGACUGAGAUCCAAGGGUGCAAUACUUCAAGAAUAACUCUUCAUGUAACAAAUCCAGUUUGACUGUGAGUGGCACAGAGUGACCUUCUAACAUUUUAUCAGAUACUCAAAAGUAUCCUGAAAGGAAAAUUAUGCUUCUAUAAUCAAAAUCUCAAAAUACAAGCUGACUACUUUUUUUUUUCUUUUUCCUUUACUUUGUCCAUGUGGUAUUCAGAAGUGCAAAUAAAUAAAAACUGAUUUACUGACUGAGUUGUAUGACCCUGUGUCUUGCUUUUGCUACAAUUGAAAUUAAACCCCAGAAACAAGUUAAAAGAGAAAGGUCUGAGGCUCACCAUCUCAUGGCUACAAACAUCAAGGCUCCCCUGAGGGUGGAAUUUUCUCCACAUGAGAAAUCCUGGAAUUUCAAAACUCAAACACAUCAUUGCAAUACCAGUCCUGUCACUGCUAACUUCCACCCAGGUGUGUGGCCAUACCUGCUUUUGGCCAGACUUUGUGUCCAAAGUUAUUAUCUUUCACAAGGAAACAAAAAUUUUUCUGCUAUACCACUAGAGGAUCAGGUUCCCGUAUAUUUGCAUCUGGUUUACCUUUUUUAAUAAUUCAGAUGUCUAGAUCUAUCCAAAGGAAAACGUCAUUAAAAGUUUGACAACAGCUUUAAAUGUUUUGGGUUUUUUUUUUUUUAACCUGACUAGAAGUGUAUGGAUUUUUUAAAGUCCAAAAAUAUGUUUUACCAUUCUAGAUAAAAUUCCAGCUGUUGCAAUGAAACAGGACAGUGAAGACCCUAUUUUUUAGCUGUCUUGCCCACUAAGCUGUUACACAAAGAUGGGAAGUCCUAUCAUGACAGCACCAAGUAGAAGAUGUAUCCAUGUGUCACAAAUGGGGGAGUGUUAGUAAAUACAAUAUUCAUGCUCUUUUUAAUUUCCUAAGAAGGUUCAAGAGGAAAUUAUGGAAAUUAUGUUUAGUCCUGAAUUUAGCUUCACAUUGUAGAAGAACAAAAAUUAAAGCUCACCUAAACAUAGAGGAAAUUCAGCCAAUCACAGCUGAAGGAUUAGUAAAAAGUGUUAAAAAUAUUAUAUGAAAGUUUUAAUUACACAGAAAAAUUAUAAAAUGCCCAGUAAUUACAGUAUAUUGAUUCCAUUUUUUUUUUCUUGAAAUGCUAAAACUAUUUCAACACACACAGAAUCAAUAAACAUAAUUAAAAUAUGAGCUCAUCAAAACAGUAAUUAAAUGUACUUAACAGCUUUUGUGGCUUUUCUCCAUAUGGUUACUGUGGGAGUGUGAAUCUGGCUUGCUAGAUAAAUUUAACAAAAUAAAGUGAAAGCCUGGGAAAAGAUUACUGUGGUAUCAUAAUCAAAUACAAUAAAGUCUAGCUCUAUAAUAAAUUCCAAUAAAUCAAAAAGUUGACAAAGGAAGCAGUGUUUAAAAUUAUUAGAGAGAAAUUCUGGAGGUUUUAUAUUUUUGUGGGAUUAACACUAUCAUGGACUUAAUAUAGAAGUCAAAUCAAAUCUUUUUUUCCAUCAUUAAAGCUAUCCUACUAGAAGACUUUCUGCUCAAUAAAGGUGUUUGGAAACUUU